AGUGAACGCUGGCGGUAGGCCUAACACAUGCAAGUCGAACGGCAGCACAGGAGAGCUGGCUCUCUGGGUGGCGAGUGGCGGACGGGUGAGGAAUACAUCGGAAUCUACUCUGUCGUGGGGGAAAACGUAGGGAAACUUACGGUAAUACCGCAUACGACCUACGGGAGAAAGCAGGGGACCUUCCGGCCUUGCUGGAUUGAAUGAGGCGAUGUCGGAUUAGCUAGUUGGCGGGGUAAAGGGCCACCAAGGCGGCGAUCCGUGGCUGGGCUGAGAGGAUGAUCAGCCACACUGGAACUGAGACACGGUCCAGACUCCUACGGGAGGCAGCAGUGGGGAAUAUUGGACAAUGGGCGCAAGCCUGAUCCAGCCAUACCGCGUGGGUGAAGAAGGCCUUCGGGUUGUAAAGCCCUUUUGUUGGGAAAGAAAUCCAGCUGGCUAACACCCGGUUGGGAUGACGGUACCCAAAGAAUAAGCACCGGCUAACUUCGUGCCAGCAGCCGCCGUAA
RNAcentral lists this ribosomal RNA (506 nucleotides) under uncultured bacterium. RNAcentral's name for it is "partial 16S ribosomal RNA". It matches the Rfam family "Bacterial small subunit ribosomal RNA", at positions 29 to 523 of the family's 1533-position model. The record is from RNAcentral.